This is a long non-coding RNA of Lytechinus variegatus (green sea urchin), 751 nucleotides long. RefSeq lists it as uncharacterized. The record is from RefSeq and is a predicted model, not a curated record. The transcript is spliced from 3 exons. Lineage: Eukaryota; Metazoa; Echinodermata; Echinoidea; Temnopleuroida; Toxopneustidae.
UUUUUCAUAGUGCAUACUCACUAUAUCUUAAUUUUUUAUUUUCUUUUAUUAUUGAUCUCUGAAAUUUCAGUUGUUUCAAGAACUACCUGAAUCAGCUGUAACACAGACAGUGUUUAGCGUCUUGAGACCAAAUAAUGUUGAAGCUGACAGCGGGAACUAUUUCAGGUCUGCAAGCUGAUUCUUAGUGAUUCAUCAGGUAUGACGGUGCUUAUCAGAGGUUAAUACCGAAAGAAAGACUGAGAAAGAUUCCACUUAAAGCCAAACAUAGAGGAACCAUUUCUUUGGGUUGCUGUUCCCAAGGGCCAAUUACCUCAUGUUCAUCAAGAGGUCACUGCUACAUAUUAACGCUGGUAGACAAUACUGCUACAGUAGCAGAAAUAUUGUAGAGCAUCUACUCAAGGCAAGGAUUUCCUCAUAAAUGCUUGCUGAUAGAGGAACUCCAAUUACCUCAGAGGUAAUGAAGGAAGUUAGCCGACUUUUUUCAAUCCGUAUCAUCCACAGUGUUAGUCCAGGCCUGCCAGCCGCUGUGCAGCGCCAGAUCGACGAGGCUCCAUCCCUUUGAUUGUUGAACGCCAAACUGGGUAGCAGCAACUUCCAUCUUUUAAUGUCUUUUCAUCCAACACGGCUGGGGUUUAAACUUUCGACCCCCCCGGUUGUGAGACAGAUGCUCUACCAACUGACCCAACACACCGGUAGGGAAGGCGGGGUAAGUUGAGCCACCAUCCCCAGGCCAAUAAUGAAUGAGUCAGAC